AGAGAAAGAGAGAAGAGAGAAAAGGGAGAAAGAAGAAAGGAAGAAAAGAGGAAGGGAGAGUGAAAAAGGGAGAGAGUGUUUGUGUGGGUGAGGAAAAUCUUGAUGCUUGUAGGGUUGGUAUUUCCUCAACCAAACCGGUGGCUACUACAAAACCUCCACCAAACCCACCCAUGCUAAGAAGCGGAGGAAUUGGCGGUUUUACCCAAAUCUCCAAACCCUAAGAUCUCAAAGAAUGAAAAUCUCCUCUUAAGUUGCAGGUAACGAGGAGUAUGAGGAGCCUGGUGGCACGAGCUUAGAUGAGGAGGAUGAGCUGUCCUAUUUCCAGUUGAUGGGCGGCUCUCCAUCGGCUU
Magnolia sinica is the source of this 350-nucleotide long non-coding RNA. RefSeq lists it as uncharacterized. The record is from RefSeq and is a predicted model, not a curated record. NCBI's taxonomy places the organism in Eukaryota, Viridiplantae, Streptophyta, Magnoliopsida, Magnoliales, Magnoliaceae. The transcript is spliced from 3 exons.